UGGCGGCGUGGAGCAGUGGCAGCUCGUCGGGCUCAUAACCCGAAGGUCCCAAGUUCGAAUCUUGGCGCCGCAA
This 73-nucleotide transfer RNA is filed under the name Candidatus Dormiibacterota bacterium. Its description in RNAcentral is "tRNA-Met". It matches the Rfam family "tRNA". Rfam says of the family: Transfer RNA (tRNA) molecules are approximately 80 nucleotides in length. Their secondary structure includes four short double-helical elements and three loops (D, anti-codon, and T loops). RNAcentral also lists the same sequence under 2 other names. The record is from RNAcentral. Lineage: Bacteria; Bacillati; Candidatus Dormiibacterota.